This 1473-nucleotide ribosomal RNA is filed under the name metagenome. RNAcentral describes it as "bacterial LSU rRNA". It matches the Rfam family "Bacterial large subunit ribosomal RNA", at positions 1464 to 2925 of the family's 2925-position model. The record is from RNAcentral.
AAGGAGUGACGCAGUAAGGUAGGUCUAGCCGGCGGUGGUCGUCCGGCGCCAAGCGUGUAGGGUGUCGCGUAGGCAAAUCCGCGUGACAUUAAGCCCGAGACGUGAUGGGGAGUCGCAAUUGCGGCGAAUUGACUGACCCUACACUGCCUAGAAAAACUUCUAACCAGAGCAAACGUGCCCGUACUGAAACCGACACUGGUGGGCAAGUAGAGAAUACUAAGGCGACGGGUGAAGCCCUCUUAAGGAACUCGGCAAAUUAGCCCCGUAACUUCGGGAAAAGGGGUGCCUUGGUUGGUGUAACGAUUUACUCGUGAAGCUGAUUGAGGUCGCAGUGAAAUGGCCCAAGCGACUGUUUAACACAAACACAGGUCUCUGCCAAGCCGCAAGGCGACGUAUAGGGGCUGACGCCUGCCCGGUGCUGGAACGUUAAGGGGAGGGCUUAGGGGUAACUCGAAGGCCUGAACCGAAGCGCCAGUAAACGGCGGCCGUAACUAUAACGGUCCUAAGGUAGCGAAAUUCCUUGUCGGGUAAGUUCCGACCCGCACGAAAGGCGUAACGACUUGGGCACUGUCUCAAGAGGGGGCCCGGCGAAAUUGCAUUACCUGUGAAGAUGCAGGUUACCCGCAGCAAGACGGAAAGACCCCGUGGAGCUUUACUGUAGCUUGAUGUUGAAUUUUGGUUAAUUCUGUACAGGAUACGUAGGAGACUUUGAUGGUGCAACGCCAGUUGUAUCGGAGUCAUCGUUGGGAUACCACGCUGAAUUGGCUGGAGUUCUAACCUAGCGACUGAUCGUCGUUGGGGACAGCGUCUGGUAGGCAGUUUGACUGGGGCGGUUGCCUCCCAAAGAGUAACGGAGGCGUUCAAAGGUCCCCUCAGCCUGGUCGGGAAUCAGGCGAAGAGUGCAAGCGCAUAAGGGGGCUUGACUGCGAGACGAACAUGUCGAGCAGAGUGGAAACACGGAGCUAGUGAUCCGGCGGUGCCGCAUGGAAGGGCCGUCGCUUAUCGGAUAAAAGCUACCCCGGGGAUAACAGGCUUAUCGCGCCCAAGAGUCCAUAUCGACGGCGCGGUUUGGCACCUCGAUGUCGGCUCAUCGCAUCCUGGGGCUGUAAUCGGUCCCAAGGGUUGGGCUGUUCGCCCAUUAAAGCGGUACGUGAGCUGGGUUCAGAACGUCGUGAGACAGUUCGGUCCCUAUCUGCUGUGGGCGUAGGAGACUUGAAGGGAUCUGUCCUUAGUACGAGAGGACCGGGAUGGACAGACCUCUGGUGAACCAGUUGUCAUGCCAGUGGCAAAGCUGGGUAGCUAUGUCUGGAAGGGAUAAACGCUGAAAGCAUCUAAGCGUGAAGCCCACCCUAAGAUUAGGUCUCCCACCGCGUAAGCGGGUAAGAGCCCUGGAAGACUACCAGGUUGAUAGGUCGGAUGUGUAAGCUCAGUAAUGGGUUUAGCUAACCGAUACUAAUAGCUCGAGGACUUCAU